RNAcentral lists this unclassified non-coding RNA (246 nucleotides) under Neofusicoccum macroclavatum. RNAcentral's name for it is "partial contains 5.8S ribosomal RNA, internal transcribed spacer 2, and large subunit ribosomal RNA". Lineage: Eukaryota; Fungi; Ascomycota; Dothideomycetes; Botryosphaeriales; Botryosphaeriaceae. The record is from RNAcentral.
CGCACAUUGCGCCCCUUGGUAUUCCGGGGGGCAUGCCUGUUCGAGCGUCAUUUCAACCCUCAAGCUCUGCUUGGUAUUGGGCUCCGUCCUCUGCGGACGCGCCUCAAAGACCUCGGCGGUGGCGUCUUGCCUCAAGCGUAGUAGAAAACACCUCGCUUUGGAGCGCACGGCGCCGCCCGCCGGACGAACCUUUGAAUUUUUCUCAAGGUUGACCUCGGAUCAGGUAGGGAUACCCGCUGAACUUAA